CCUACGGGUGGCAGCAGUGGGGAAUAUUGCACAAUGGGGGAAACCCUGAUGCAGCAACGCCGCGUGAGUGAAGAAGUAUUUCGGUAUGUAAAGCUCUAUCAUCAGGGAAGAAAAUGACGGUACCUGAUUAAGAAGCCCCGGCUAACUACGUGCCAGCAGCCGCGGUAAUACGUAGGGGGCAAGCGUUAUACGGAUUUACUGGGUGUAAAGGGAGCGUAGACGGCAGAACAAGUCUGGAGUGAAAUGCCAGGGCUUAACCCCGGAACUGCUUUGGAAACUGUGAAGCUAGAGUGCAGGAGAGGUAAGUGGAAUGCGUAGUGUAGCGGUGAAAUGCGUAGAGAUUAAGAGGAACACCCGUGGCGAAGGCGGCUUACUGGACUGUAACUGACGCUGAGGCGCGAAAGCGUGGGGAGCAAACAGGAUUAGAUACCCUUGUAGUC
This 440-nucleotide ribosomal RNA is filed under the name uncultured bacterium. Its description in RNAcentral is "partial 16S ribosomal RNA". It matches the Rfam family "Bacterial small subunit ribosomal RNA", at positions 338 to 795 of the family's 1533-position model. The record is from RNAcentral.